UACGUAGGGUGCAAGCGUUGUCCGGAAUUAUUGGGCGUAAAGAGCUCGUAGGCGGUUUGUUGCGUCGGCUGUGAAAUCCCACGGCUCAACCGUGGAAGUGCACCCGAAACUGCGUAGCUAGAGUCCUGGAGAGGAAGGUGGAAUGCUUGGUGUAGAGGUGAAAUUCGUAGAUAUCGGGAGGAACACCGGUGGCGAAGGCGGCGACCUGGGUCGAGACUGACGCUGAGGCGCGAAAGCGUGGGGAGCAAACAGG
RNAcentral lists this ribosomal RNA (253 nucleotides) under uncultured bacterium. RNAcentral's name for it is "partial 16S ribosomal RNA". It matches the Rfam family "Bacterial small subunit ribosomal RNA", at positions 524 to 776 of the family's 1533-position model. The record is from RNAcentral.